CCUACGGGUGGCAGCAGUGGGGAAUAUUGCACAAUGGGCGCAAGCCUGAUGCAGCCAUGCCGCGUGUGUGAAGAAGGCCUUCGGGUUGUAAAGCACUUUCAGCGGGGAGGAAGGCGGUGAGGUUAAUAACCUCAUCGAUUGACGUUACCCGCAGAAGAAGCACCGGCUAACUCCGUGUCAGCAGCCGCGGUAAUACGGAGGGUGCAAGCGUUAAUCGGAAUUACUGGGCGUAAAGCGCACGCAGGCGGUCUAUCAAGUCGGAUGUGAAAUCCCCGGGCUCAACCUGGGAACUGCAUUCGAAACUGGCAGGCUAGAGUCUUGUAGAGGGGGGUAGAAUUCCAGGUGUAGCGGUGAAAUGCGUAGAGAUCUGGAGGAAUACCGGUGGCGAAGGCGGCCCCCUGGACAAAGACCGACGCUCAGGUGCGAAAGCGUGGGGAGCAAACAGGAUUAGAUACCCGUGUAGUC
RNAcentral lists this ribosomal RNA (465 nucleotides) under uncultured Klebsiella sp. RNAcentral describes it as "bacterial SSU rRNA". It matches the Rfam family "Bacterial small subunit ribosomal RNA", at positions 338 to 795 of the family's 1533-position model. Lineage: Bacteria; Pseudomonadati; Pseudomonadota; Gammaproteobacteria; Enterobacterales; Enterobacteriaceae. The record is from RNAcentral.